Molecule: ribosomal RNA, 465 nt
Filed under: uncultured bacterium
Lineage: Bacteria
Description: partial 16S ribosomal RNA
Rfam family: Bacterial small subunit ribosomal RNA
Source: RNAcentral
GACGAACGCUGGCGGCGUGCUUAACACAUGCAAGUCGAACGGAAAGGCCCCUUUGGGGGUACUCGAGUGGCGCACGGGUGAGUAACACGUGAGUAACCUGCCCUUGACUUCGGGAUAACUUCAGGAAACUGGGGCUAAUACCGGAUAGGAAUCCUUGCUGCAUGGUGGGGGUUGGAAAGCUUCGGCGGUUUUGGAUGGACUCGCGGCUUAUCAGCUUGUUGGUGGGGUAGUGGCUUACCAAGGCUUUGACGGGUAGCCGGCCUGAGAGGGCGACCGGCCACAGUGGGACUGAGAGACGGCCCAGACGCCUACGGGAGGCAGCAGUGGGGAAUAUUGCACAAUGGGCGGAAGCCGGAUGCAGCAACGCCGCGUGCGGGAUGACGGCCUUCGGGUUGUAAACCGCUUUCAGCAGGGGCGAAGCUUGUGGUGACGGUACCUGCAGAAGAAGCACCGGCUAACUACGUG